UUUUUUUUUUUUUUUUUUUUUUUUUUUUGUUUUGCUUUUCGUACGGAGU
This 49-nucleotide non-coding RNA is filed under the name Rhodosorus marinus. The record is from RNAcentral. Lineage: Eukaryota; Rhodophyta; Stylonematophyceae; Stylonematales; Stylonemataceae.